Molecule: long non-coding RNA, 296 nt
Filed under: Hordeum vulgare
Lineage: Eukaryota; Viridiplantae; Streptophyta; Magnoliopsida; Poales; Poaceae
Description: long non-coding RNA (HVUL_LNC013022)
Source: RNAcentral
AGAAGGAGCCCUCCUUUAUCUCCUUCUUCUUCUCUCCUCCUUAUCCUCCUUCUUCUCCUUCUUCUUCUCCUCUUCUCCUCCUCCUUCUCCUUCUCCUUCUCCUUCUCCUUCUCCUUUUCCUUCUCCUCCUCCUCCUCCUCCUUAUUCUUGUUUUUCUCCUCCUUCUCUACUUGCUUCUUCUCUUUCUUCUUCAAUUUAGCUUAUUUUUCAUAUAUAUGUUGUUCUUCUUCUUCUUCUGACAUUCUUAUUCCCAUUUUGCAGAUUGGAUGUACUACAUGCAUGGAAGCUGGCAUUGG